This 863-nucleotide ribosomal RNA is filed under the name Blastobotrys attinorum. Its description in RNAcentral is "LSU rRNA". The stretch from base 136 to 863 matches the Rfam family "Eukaryotic large subunit ribosomal RNA", at positions 1 to 739 of the family's 3401-position model. Lineage: Eukaryota; Fungi; Ascomycota; Dipodascomycetes; Dipodascales; Trichomonascaceae. The record is from RNAcentral.
UAUCUCUUCUCUAAGAAGAGUACUACGAAAAGAAAUGGCAGUGCUUAGGAAGUCUUUGCUACCAGUGUUUUAGGUUCUACCAACUACACUUUCCAGCAGCUUCCAGUAAGUCGGCUUGAAAACCCUUUUCAACGUUGACCUGAAAUCAGGUAAGAUUACCCGCUGAACUUAAGCAUAUCAAUAAGCGGAGGAAAAGAAACCAACAGGGAUUGCCUCAGUAACGGCGAGCGAAGCGGCAAGAGCUCAAAUUUGAAAUCUGGCGUCUUUCUUAGGCGUCCGAGUUGUAAUUUGAAGAAGGUAACUUUGGAAACGGCCCUUGUAUAUGUUCCUUGGAAUAGGACGUCACAGAGGGUGAGAACCCCGUAUAUGGCGAGGUGUCCGUUUCUAUGUAAAGUGCUUUCUAAGAGUCGAGUUGUUUGGGAAUGCAGCUCUAAGUGGGUGGUAAAUUCCAUCUAAGGCUAAAUAUUGGCGAGAGACCGAUAGCGAACAAGUACAGUGAUGGAAAGAUGAAAAGAACUUUGAAAAGAGAGUGAAAAAGUACGUGAAAUUGUUGAAAGGGAAGGGCUUGAAAUCAGACUUGGUUUGUAGUGAUCAGCUGUCUCUUGGGACUGUGCACUCGCUACUUACUAGGCCAACAUCAGUUUUGGCGGUGGGAUAAUGACAGUUGAAUGUGGCUCCGCUUCGGUGGAGUGUUAUAGCUUCUGUUGAUACCACCAGCUGGGACUGAGGACUGCGUCUUUGACUAGGAUGUUGGCGUAAUGAUUUUAAGCCACCCGUCUUGAAACACGGACCAAGGAGUCUAAUGUCUAUGCGAGUGUUUGGGUGUUAAACCCGUACGCGAAAUGAAAGUGAACGUAGAGGAG